Molecule: non-coding RNA, 154 nt
Organism: Amborella trichopoda
Lineage: Eukaryota; Viridiplantae; Streptophyta; Magnoliopsida; Amborellales; Amborellaceae
Source: Rfam
CUCACACCCAUGUGUUUAGGAUCCCAAAGGAUCACUAUUAAAUUUGGCACAGAUCUCUAAAAAAGUUAUCACAUGGGUGUGAGACUUGACUUUUCUAGAGAUCUGUGUCAAAUUUAAUAGUGAUCUUUUGGGGUCCUAGACACAUGGGUGUGGG